GAUCCUGGCUCAGGAUGAACGCUAGCUACAGGCUUAACACAUGCAAGUCGAGGGGCAGCAUUUUAGUUUGCUUGCAAACUGAAGAUGGCGACCGGCGCACGGGUGAGUAACACGUAUCCAACCUGCCGAUAACUCUGGAAUAGCCUUUCGAAAGAAAGGUUAAUACCUGAUGGCAUACGAAUAUCGCAUGAUAUUUUUAUUAAAGAAUUUCGGUUAUCGAUGGGGAUGCGUUCCAUUAG
This 239-nucleotide ribosomal RNA is filed under the name uncultured bacterium. Its description in RNAcentral is "partial 16S ribosomal RNA". It matches the Rfam family "Bacterial small subunit ribosomal RNA", at positions 15 to 244 of the family's 1533-position model. The record is from RNAcentral.